RNAcentral lists this ribosomal RNA (254 nucleotides) under uncultured bacterium. RNAcentral's name for it is "partial 16S ribosomal RNA". It matches the Rfam family "Bacterial small subunit ribosomal RNA", at positions 524 to 776 of the family's 1533-position model. The record is from RNAcentral.
UACGUAGGGUGCAAGCGUUGUCCGGAAUUAUUGGGCGUAAAGGGCUCGUAGGCGGUCUGUCACGUCGGGAGUGAAAACACGGGGCUUAACCCCGUGCCUGCUUCCGAUACGGGCAGACUAGAGUUCGGUAGGGGAGGUCUGGAAUUCCUGGUGUAGCGGUGAAAUGCGCAGAUAUCGGGAGGAACACCCGUGGCGAAGGCGGCCAGCUGGGAUACACCUGACGCUGAGACACGAAGGCGUGGGGAGCGAACGGG